UCAAUGAGAGAGAACUCAUUCGCGACCAAUGCGUUUCAAAGGCAGCGGCGCUAGCGCCUGUGGAAAACGCUACCCCCGAACGAGUCACGAGAGGGAUCGACGGAGGCUCCGUAUUAUCCUGUGAGAAUGCACUAAAGUCGGCGGAACGUAGCGGUGUCGAAAGAGGAAGGCUGGUGUUGGCCCUGGACAGCGGUACCAACUGCGCAGCUGAGAGACGACGGCUGGAGUCGUCGAUUUGGCAACGUAGGAGUAAACCUGCGCGCAUGGUAGAAUCAGCGACCAGAACCACGUCCAACUGAAUGGGAACACUGAAGUCUUUGUUCUGUUUCUGCUUGUCGAUUUUCCCGGUGUUUUUUGGUGUCGACCCUGCACUUUUGGAAGUGAAGCAAGAAAGGCACACAGCUUACCAGUUAGUUUACGUUUCCCGGUUAUGUUUUUGACGUGACUCGUUUCGCGCUUUGCCGCUGGAACUCGUGACAUCCUGGAACAACGCUGCGCAAAACUACCAGAAUCAUCAUUCCAUGCUCAUGCACGAGCCUCCACGGUUCACCUUCGCUUUCCAAGUAGCAUACGCAAAUCACGCAGUGUUCAAGUAUUUGAUCUUUGUGUUUCACUGCAAAUCGUGGGCGCUUCAAUUCGUGUCGCUGGACUGAAGAUGACCAGUACACGAUAUCGUUGAUUGAAGACCUUUUCACAUGCUCAUGCCGAAAGUUCAUUGAACUGUUCGAGUCGAACAAUGAACUCUGCUCGAAAGACAAAUCCCUCUCUAUUUCCGGUCGUCGAAGGAUCAGCAUUCGACUGCAGCAUGAUACCGCUGACGGGAUAUGAUCCCAGAGGCGCCGGUCUCUUCCGUUCACAAACGGAACAGCGUCUUGGACUUAGGCUUUCGCGAUGGCAACGAUCGCUUCCAGUAGAGACAUCGUCAUCGCUUGCCACAGAGGGAGCGUAGGCGGAUCGAGAUUUCUCGACCCGUCCUCCAGCACAGGAUUUUUUUCCGAUACCCGUUUCAUCAUGGAUACCAUCGCGUUUCACAAAUCCUGUAUUGACUAGCACGGCGGAUGCCUGUACGUCCAGCUGGCAGCUGCGUAUUCGCCGAGGAGAUCACCUACGCGAAGCUCGUGUUUGUAGAUUGCAGCGCUGGACGCGGAAACGGAGUGCAUCGAGGAAAGGUAUCUGUACUACGCCAGGUCAUGCACCGAGCGAUGAAGCACGCUUUUUCGCGCUACAGGUCUGCUCUCGAAGGAGGUGUUGUAGUGGACAUACGGGAGCUCCUGAUCACAGACAAGUGUCCCAGCUGCAAAUGGCGUACCGAAUCCGCAUGCAGAGAAGAUCACCAUCGCAAGCGAAGCGUAGGUCGUAACCGCAGCCUAUGAGUGGAAUGUCGUAGAGAACUUGCGGAAGCAGCGGACUCGGGACUUGAACGCCGCAUUCAGUGUCGUUCGACUGCCGAAACCCGGCCUGACGAGAAACGCGAGACCGGCAUAUUGCAAGGCGCGAACAAGAUAGAGGAGAAGGUAGCAGCGGUUUAGACAACCCGUAAAAGUUGGUAUUCAUCA
RNAcentral lists this unclassified non-coding RNA (1556 nucleotides) under Cyanidioschyzon merolae strain 10D. RNAcentral describes it as "hypothetical transcript". The record is from RNAcentral. Lineage: Eukaryota; Rhodophyta; Bangiophyceae; Cyanidiales; Cyanidiaceae.